RNAcentral lists this ribosomal RNA (503 nucleotides) under uncultured bacterium. RNAcentral's name for it is "bacterial SSU rRNA". It matches the Rfam family "Bacterial small subunit ribosomal RNA", at positions 29 to 523 of the family's 1533-position model. The record is from RNAcentral.
AACGAACGCUGGCGGCGCGCUUAACACAUGCAAGUCGAACGAGAAGGCGUAGCAAUACGCUUGUAAAGUGGCGAACGGGUGAGGAAUACAUGGGUAACCUACCCUCGAGUGGGGGAUAACCCCGCCGAAAGGCGGGCUAAUACCGCGUACGCUUCCGAUCUCGCGGGAUCGGAAGGAAAGCUGUCCCAAAGGGGAUGGCGCUCAAGGAUGGGCUCAUGUCCUAUCAGCUUGUUGGUAGGGUAACGGCCACCAAGGCAUCGACGGGUAGCUGGUCUGAGAGGACGAUCAGCCACACUGGCACUGCGACACGGGCCAGACUCCUACGGGAGGCAGCAGUGAGGAAUAUUGCGCAAUGGGCGAAAGCCUGACGCAGCGACGCCGCGUGGGGAUGAAGGUCUUCGGAUUGUAAACCCCUUUCGGGAGGGAAGACGGCCUUAGACAACUAUGGCGGACGGUACCUCCAGAAGCAGCCACGGCUAACUUCGUGCCAGCAGCCGCAGUAA